This 615-nucleotide ribosomal RNA is filed under the name Cyttaria berteroi. Its description in RNAcentral is "SSU rRNA". The stretch from base 133 to 615 matches the Rfam family "Bacterial small subunit ribosomal RNA", at positions 1 to 918 of the family's 1533-position model. The record is from RNAcentral. Lineage: Eukaryota; Fungi; Ascomycota; Leotiomycetes; Helotiales; Cyttariaceae.
CUUUGUUAAAUUAAGGGAUUAAUUCGUGAAAUUAAUUGCUUUUAGAUCCCACAGGUUCGGGAUAUAAAAUAACUUUGACUCGUUAUCAAUGCAAGCAUAUAGGAUCGAUUUUGUUGAUUAUAGUUCUAAGUAUAAUAGGAGGGACAGCCCAGGAAGGGCGAUUCGCCUGAUAAGGGUGAUUCGUCUGAGUUAAUCACUUAUUAUGAAUAUUUUAUACUUAGGUGUCUUGACCAAAUUACGUGCCAGCAGUCGCGGCAAUACGUAGAAGACUAGUGUUGUUCAUCUUAAACAGGUUUAUUGGGUACCUAGACGGUGAUUAUAGUCCACAACGGGGUACGUUUUCACUAGAGUUAUAUAUGAAAAGGUGAGAAUUUAAGGUGGAGAGUUGCAAUUUUAUGAUACUUUAAGGACUGACAGGGGCGAAAGCAAUCUUUUAUCUAAUAACUGACGUUGAGGGACGAAGGCUUGGGGAGCGAAUAGGAUUAGAGACCCUAGUAGUCCAAGCAGAAAAUUAUGAAUGCUAUAGGUUAGAAGUAUUUAAUCUAUAAAUGAAAGUGGAAGCAUUUCAUCUCAAGAGUAAUGCGGCAACGCUGGAACUGAAAUCAUUAGACCGCG